RNAcentral lists this ribosomal RNA (485 nucleotides) under uncultured bacterium. RNAcentral describes it as "partial 16S ribosomal RNA". It matches the Rfam family "Bacterial small subunit ribosomal RNA", at positions 29 to 523 of the family's 1533-position model. The record is from RNAcentral.
AGUGAACGCUGGCGGCGUGCUUAACACAUGCAAGUCGAACGAGAACGGAAUAUAGCUUGCUAUAUUUGUCAGCUAAGUGGCGCACGGGUGAGUAAUGUAUAGAUAACCUGCCCUUAAGAAAGGAAUAACAGUUGGAAACGACUGCUAAUGCCCUAUAUGCCUUUAAUACAUAAGUAUGCAAGGGAAACGCUUUAGUGCUUAAGGAUAGGUCUGUAUGGUAUCAGCUUGUUGGUGAGGUAAUGGCUCACCAAGGCUAUGACGCCUAACUGGUUUGAGAGGAUGAUCAGUCACACUGGAACUGAGACACGGUCCAGACUCCUACGGGAGGCAGCAGUGGGGAAUAUUGCACAAUGGACGAAAGUCUGAUGCAGCAACGCCGCGUGGAGGAUGACACAUUUCGGUGCGUAAACUCCUUUUAUAUAGGAAGAUUAUGACGGUACUAUAUGAAUAAGCACCGGCUAACUCCGUGCCAGCCGCCGCAGUAA